RNAcentral lists this small RNA (740 nucleotides) under Pan troglodytes (chimpanzee). RNAcentral describes it as "processed transcript". Lineage: Eukaryota; Metazoa; Chordata; Mammalia; Primates; Hominidae. The record is from RNAcentral.
AGGGAGUGUGGCACUGAGCCGGCUCAGGCAGAGACGCGGCACCAUGGCUAGCAAGAAAGUCUGCAUUGUAGGCUCCGGGAACUGGGGCUCAGCCAUCGCCAAGAUCGUGGGUGGCAAUGCAGCCCAGCUGGCACAGUUUGACCCACGGGUGACCAUGUGGGUAUUUGAGGAAGACAUUGGAGGCAAAAAGCUGACUGAGAUCAUCAACACGCAGCAUGAGAAUGUCAAAUACCUGCCAGGGCACAAGUUGCCCCCAAAUGUGGUGGCUGUCCCAGAUGUGGUCCAGGCUGCAGAGGAUGCUGACAUCCUGAUCUUUGUGGUGCCCCAUCAGUUCAUCGGCAAGAUCUGUGACCAGCUCAAGGGCCAUCUGAAGGCAAACGCCACUGGCAUAUCUCUUAUUAAGGGGGUAGACGAGGGCCCCAAUGGGCUGAAGCUCAUCUCGGAAGUGAUUGGGGAGCGCCUCGGCAUCCCCAUGAGUGUGCUGAUGGGGGCCAACAUUGCCAGCGAGGUGGCUGAUGAGAAGUUCUGUGAGACAACCAUUGGCUGCAAGGACCCGGCCCAGGGACAACUCCUGAAAGAGCUGAUGCAGACACCAAACUUCCGUAUCACAGUGGUGCAAGAGGUGGACACAGUAGAGAUCUGUGGAGCCUUAAAGUCCAUUGAGCAGCUGGAGAAAGAGUUGCUGAAUGGGCAGAAACUGCAGGGGCCCGAGACAGCCCGGGAGCUACACAGCAUCCUCC